AUUGAAGAUGACCCCAACAAAUGGAAAGAUAUACUGAGCUCAUAAAUUGGAACAACUAGUAUUGUUAAAAUGUCCAUACUACUCAAAGCAAUCUAUAGAUUUACUGUAAUCCGUGUCAAAAUACUGACAUUUUUCAUAGAAUUAGCACAAUACUAAAAUCUGUAUGGAACUACAAAAGAUCCCAAACAGCCAAAGAAAUCUUGAGAAAGAACAACAAAGGUUGAGGUAUCACAAUCCCAGAUUUCAAGGUGUAUUACUACAAAGCUGUAGUAAUCAAAACAGUAUGGUACUGGCACAAAAACAGACACAUAUAGAUCAACAGAACAAAGAGCCCAGAUAUAAAUCUAUGCUUAUAUGGUCAAUUAAUCUUUGAUAAUAGAUGCAAAAAUAUAUAAUGGGGGAGAAGGACAGUCUUUUCAACAAAUGUUGUUGGGAAAACUGGACAAGCUACAUGCCAAAGAAUGAAAGUGGACUGCUUUCUUAGACCACACACAAAAAUAAACUCAAAAUGGAUUAAAGACCUAAAUAUGAGACCUGGAACCAUAAAACUCCUAGAAGAAAACAUAGGCAGUAUUUCUUUGACAUCAGCCACAGAAACAUGUUUCUAAAUAUGCAAGGGAAACAAAAGCAAAAUCAAAAUGUUGGGAUUAUACCAAAAUAAAAAGCUUUUGCACAACAAAACAAAAACCAGCAAUAAAACAAAAGACAAUCUACUGGAUGGGAGAAGAUACUUGCAAAUGAUAUAUUUGAUAAAGGAUUAAUAUCAAAAUAUAUAAAGAACUUAUACAACCCAGUACCAAAAACCCCACAAAUAAUCCAAUUUAAAAAAAGAAACAAAAAAUCAACAACAAAAGAUUUAUGGGAGACACCAAUAUUUAAGUGGCAGAGAAUUCCACAGAAGACUGAGACUAAGCAGUCAUAAAGAUAGAAGCAGAACCUAGAGAACAAAGUCAUGGAAACCAUGGUAGCAGCGCAUUUACAAAAAAGGGUGGGAUGAAAAGCAUCAAUGGACAGUGGAUGGAGUGAGGAGAUUCAAAAUGGACUGGAGAUUCAAAAUAAUCCACUGGUUUUUGACAAGUGAACAGUCUGGUCAGAUUUUCACAGUACCAAACUAUAAGCAUUAUUUCUAACAGCCAAGACAUGGAAACAAACUAUCCACUGAUAGAUGAAUGGAUCAAGAAUGUGUGAUAUAUACAAUCUGGUUUAUACAAAUGGAAUAUUAAUCCAACAAUACAAAACAAGAAAAUCUUGUCACCUGCAACAAGGUGGAUGGACCCUGAGGGCAUUAUGGCAAGUGAGGAGCUAGGAGAAUGAGAUUAUGGAGAAGAAAAGAAUGGGGUCAGAAAUUCCUAGAGGACAGAGAGAAAGCUAAAGAAAAAAGAUUAUGGAUCUUCAGAGGCUUUGUGCCAUUAAAAAAAUAACAACAGAACCAACAGUUCCAGGUUAUAGUUUAGACUACCACCAACUCAGGUAAGAUUCACCUUAUUUCAUCAACUCUAAGAUUCACAUUUUUAGAAACUGUCAUAUCAGUGAAGUCAAGAAAUUUUUUGAAAUUUUUGUUUGCUUUUGCAACUGAUGGCAUCCUAUGAACUGCAGUCAGCCAGGUAGCAGGGAUGACAUAGCUUUUAUUGCCUGCACAUGUACAAACUUGGUCGAAGCUAUUCAUCUCUGUCAUUUCGACACUGUGUAUAUGUUGCAACUAUGGGCUGAGUUUGAAUGAUAUUUAAAACACCUUAAAAUAUUACAUUAUAAUUUGGCGUGGAAAAAAAAAGUUACGAUCUGGAAAGACAAAGAAA
Molecule: long non-coding RNA, 1796 nt
Organism: Panthera uncia (snow leopard)
Lineage: Eukaryota; Metazoa; Chordata; Mammalia; Carnivora; Felidae
Exons: 4
Source: RefSeq, a predicted model, not a curated record